This 440-nucleotide ribosomal RNA is filed under the name uncultured bacterium. Its description in RNAcentral is "bacterial SSU rRNA". It matches the Rfam family "Bacterial small subunit ribosomal RNA", at positions 338 to 795 of the family's 1533-position model. The record is from RNAcentral.
CCUACGGGGGGCAGCAGUGGGGAAUAUUGCACAAUGGGGGAAACCCUGAUGCAGCAACGCCGCGUGAGCGAUGAAGGCCUUCGGGGCGUAAAGCUCUGUCCUAAGGGAAGAAUACUGACGGUACCUUAGGAGGAAGCCCCGGCUAACUACGUGCCAGCAGCCGCGGUAAUACGGAGGGGGCUAGCGUUAUCCGGAAUUACUGGGCGUAAAGGGUGCGUAGGCGGCCCUUCAAGGCAGAGGUGAAAGGCUACGGCUAAACCGUAGUAAGCCUUUGAAACUGUAGGGCUUGAGUGCAGGAGAGGAGUGUGGAAUUCGCAGAGUAGCGGUGAAAUGCGUAGAUAGUGGAAGGAACACCAGUUGCGGAGUCGGGUUUCUUGACUGUAACUGGCGCUGAGGCACGGAAGCCUGUGGAGCGAACUGGAUUAGAUAUCCCAGUAGUC